RNAcentral lists this ribosomal RNA (264 nucleotides) under uncultured bacterium. Its description in RNAcentral is "partial 16S ribosomal RNA". It matches the Rfam family "Bacterial small subunit ribosomal RNA", at positions 15 to 272 of the family's 1533-position model. The record is from RNAcentral.
AAUCCUGGCUCAGGACGAACGCUGGCGGCGUGCCUAACACAUGCAAGUCGAGCGGAGACAGUGAGUAGCUUGCUAUGAGCUGUUUUAGCGGCGGACGGGUGAGUAACGCGUAAGCAACCUUUCCCAGACAGGGGAAUAACACACCGAAAGGUGUACUAAUACCGCAUAAGACCACGGGAUCACAUGGUUCUGGGGUAAAAGAUUUAUCGGUUUGGGGUGGGCUCGCGUCCGAUUAGGUAGUUGGUGAGGUAACGGCCCACCAAG